CUCUCCCAUUGGCCAGCCAGCCUCCAGAGGAGGAGCUUCUCUUCCUCCUGCGCAGGCCCAAGGCUGAGCAGCAUGGCGAGCACUUUACCAGCAAGAUCCUGCAGCACGCUGGGGAUGACAUUUCUGGACACUGCAGCAUCUGAAGUUGGGACCCCCACUUUUUGCUGGACUUGCUUGGGGGAAUACCUUGCCCGGUCUAUCCUCAGUGUGUUCUUCUGAAUUUCCCCGGCACCAACUUGUACAAAAACCCGGGAGACAAGCAAUAGUUAAAUAAAAGAUUGUAAUUAUGA
This is a long non-coding RNA of Sceloporus undulatus (fence lizard), 290 nucleotides long. RefSeq lists it as uncharacterized. The transcript is spliced from 2 exons. The record is from RefSeq and is a predicted model, not a curated record. Lineage: Eukaryota; Metazoa; Chordata; Lepidosauria; Squamata; Phrynosomatidae.